RNAcentral lists this ribosomal RNA (448 nucleotides) under uncultured bacterium. Its description in RNAcentral is "partial 16S ribosomal RNA". It matches the Rfam family "Bacterial small subunit ribosomal RNA", at positions 329 to 793 of the family's 1533-position model. The record is from RNAcentral.
UGCCAGACUCCUACGGGAGGCAGCAGUGGGGAAUAUUGCACAAUGGGGGAAACCCUGAUGCAGCGACGCCGCGUGAGCGAAGAAGUACCUCGGUAUGUAAGGCUCUAUCAGCAGGGAAGAAGAUGACGGUACCUGACCAAGAAGCUCCGGCUAAAUACGUGCCAGCAGCCGCGGUAAUACGUAGGGGGCAAGCGUUAUCCGGAUUUACUGGGUGUAAAGGGGGCGCAGACGGCAGCGCAAGCCAGGAGUGAAAGCCCGGGGCCCAACCCCGGGACUGCUCUUGGAACUGCGCGGCUGGAGUGCAGGAGGGGCAGGCGGAAUUCCUGGUGUAGCGGUGAAAUGCGUAGAUAUCAGGAGGAACACCGGUGGCGAAGGCGGCCUGCUGGACUGCGACUGACGUUGAGGCCCGAAAGCGUGGGGAGCAAACAGGAUUAGAUACCCCCGUAAG